ACAGGGGAAGUGCAUCAUUGGGGUCACUGAGUGCUUGUCACUCCCCAGCAUCUGGGAAGGUCUGAGACUGGGGCCUUCUGUGGCCCUAACCGGGCUCUCCCUGAGUGGAGAGGUGAGUUCCCAGAGAGCAGGGCUCCACGUGUGUGUAGACUGGGCAGGAAAUGCCCAGUGGGCAGAUGUCUCCCUCCCCGAAGCUUGAAACAAACUCAUCGCUAGUAGAGAAAGGCAGAUGGGAUAGACAUCGGAAGAGGGAGAAAAGAGGGAACAAGACAGGAGCAUAUCACAGAUGGCCUCUGAAAGACUCUAUCCAGCAGUGU
This 317-nucleotide long non-coding RNA is filed under the name Meriones unguiculatus (Mongolian gerbil). Its description in RNAcentral is "Nuclear RNase P (ENSMUGG00000001581.1)". It matches the Rfam family "Nuclear RNase P", at positions 1 to 244 of the family's 301-position model. From Rfam's summary of the family: Ribonuclease P (RNase P) is a ubiquitous endoribonuclease, found in archaea, bacteria and eukarya as well as chloroplasts and mitochondria. Its best characterised activity is the generation of mature 5'-ends of tRNAs by cleaving the 5'-leader elements of precursor-tRNAs. Cellular RNase Ps are ribonucleoproteins. Lineage: Eukaryota; Metazoa; Chordata; Mammalia; Rodentia; Muridae. The record is from RNAcentral.